GAAAUGAUGAUUCAGUGGUAGAAUUCUCGCUUCUCCUGUGAGAGAUCAGGGUUCAAUUCCCGAUCAGUGCA
RNAcentral lists this transfer RNA (71 nucleotides) under Loxodonta africana (African savanna elephant). It matches the Rfam family "tRNA". Rfam says of the family: Transfer RNA (tRNA) molecules are approximately 80 nucleotides in length. Lineage: Eukaryota; Metazoa; Chordata; Mammalia; Proboscidea; Elephantidae. The record is from Rfam by way of RNAcentral.